Molecule: ribosomal RNA, 495 nt
Filed under: uncultured bacterium
Lineage: Bacteria
Description: partial 16S ribosomal RNA
Rfam family: Bacterial small subunit ribosomal RNA
Source: RNAcentral
GACGAACGCUGGCGGCGUGCCUAAUACAUGCAAGUAGAACGCUGAAGGAGGAGCUUGCUUCUCUGGGUGAGUUGCGAACGGGUGAGUAACGCGUAGGUAACCUGCCUGGUAGCGGGGGAUAACUAUUGGAAACGAUAGCUAAUACCGCAUAAGAGUAGAUGUCGCAUGACAUUUGCUUAAAAGGUGCAAUUGCAUCACUACCAGAUGGACCUGCGUUGUAUUAGCUAGUUGGUGAGGUAACGGCUCACCAAGGCAACGAUACAUAGCCGACCUGAGAGGGUGAUCGGCCACACUGGGACUGAGACACGGCCCAGACUCCUACGGGAGGCAGCAGUAGGGAAUCUUCGGCAAUGGACGGAAGUCUGACCGAGCAACGCCGCGUGAGUGAAGAAGGUUUUCGGAUCGUAAAGCUCUGUUGUAAGAGAAGAACGAGUGUGAGAGUGGAAAGUUCACACUGUGACGGUAUCUUACCAGAAAGGGACGGCUAACUACGUG